GGGUGCUAUCCUUGCUGUGGUAGUUAGACCUCCCCAAGCAGGGACAAGGAGUACCCACUGCUCCAUAAAGCUCCCUUUUACCCCAUACCCAGGAAGAAAGGAUUGGGCAGCUCCUCUGAGGGUGUCCAAACCAGGUAUAAGAAUUAAGGGAAUAAAAUGAUUAAGGAAAUGUCAAAAGGACAAGUGAGGGUGAUGAUGAUAAAGAGGAAGAAGAGAUAGAAAUAGAGGUUAUUUAAGGGGGCUACACAUUCUAGAACUAACAUGAUUUCUCUGCAUGUAUGUUUGUUUGCAUAAUGAGCCCUUUAUUUUUAUACUUGGACAAAAGUACUAUAAGCCCACUACACUUUUUGAUUUUGUGAAACUCUGUAAAUUGUUGUAUGGGGAUGCUGAGAAUUUAUUGAUUGUGA
Pelobates cultripes (western spadefoot toad) is the source of this 407-nucleotide non-coding RNA. NCBI's taxonomy places the organism in Eukaryota, Metazoa, Chordata, Amphibia, Anura, Pelobatidae. The record is from the annotation of a GenBank genome assembly.